Molecule: ribosomal RNA, 207 nt
Filed under: uncultured bacterium
Lineage: Bacteria
Description: partial 16S ribosomal RNA
Rfam family: Bacterial small subunit ribosomal RNA
Source: RNAcentral
UGCGCAGGUGGCUUGUUAAGAUCGAUGUGAAAGCCCCGGGCUCAACCUGGGAACUGCAUUGAUGACUGGCUCGCUAGAGUACGGCAGAGGGGGGUGGAAUUCCACGUGUAGCAGUGAAAUGCGUAGAGAUGUGGAGGAACACCGAUGGCGAAGGCAACCCCCUGGGCUGAUACUGACACUCAUGCACGAAAGCGUGGGAGGCAAACA